UAUUCACUUUGUUUUCCUUAGCCACAUCGAUAAAUUUAUGCAGGCCUACAAUAAAUACGGAACUGCGUCGUUCGCCGUACAUCCAUCGCUUCCGUGCAUCGAUCUGCAUUAUACAUGAAUAGUGAAAUGAUCACCGUACAUGGACACAUGCAAUAUUUUUGUAUCAAUUACACAUGAAAAGGAUAAGGUUGCUAACCUCAGUCGAGGAUACCAUUUUGUGUGAACUUAAGUGUGACUCGGGCAUUAGUCCAGGUUCGUAAUGUACUCCGAAGUGCGUCGGUUACCGUACAUCCAUUGGCGGUUCAUC
Molecule: long non-coding RNA, 307 nt
Filed under: Hordeum vulgare
Lineage: Eukaryota; Viridiplantae; Streptophyta; Magnoliopsida; Poales; Poaceae
Description: long non-coding RNA (HVUL_LNC020023)
Source: RNAcentral